RNAcentral lists this ribosomal RNA (434 nucleotides) under uncultured bacterium. Its description in RNAcentral is "bacterial SSU rRNA". It matches the Rfam family "Bacterial small subunit ribosomal RNA", at positions 355 to 786 of the family's 1533-position model. The record is from RNAcentral.
UGAGGAAUAUUGGUCAAUGGGCGGGAGCCUGAACCAGCCAAGCCGCGUGAGGGAGGAAGGCCCUAUGGGUCGUAAACCUCUUUUGUCAGGGAACAAAAGCGAGUAUGUAUACUAGUCUGAGUGUACCUGAAGAAAAAGCAUCGGCUAACUCCGUGCCAGCAGCCGCGGUAAUACGGAGGAUGCGAGCGUUAUCCGGAUUUAUUGGGUUUAAAGGGUGCGUAGGCGGCGGUGCAGGUCAGCGGUAAAAGCCCGGGGGCUCAACCCCGGCGAGCCGUUGAAACUGCAGUGCUAGAGAAGGCGAGAGGUACGCGGAAUGCGCAGUGUAGCGGUGAAAUGCUUAGAUAUUGCGCAGAACUCCGAUUGCGAAGGCAGCGUACUGGCGCCUGACUGACGCUGAGGCACGAAAGCGUGGGGAUCGAACAGGAUUAGAUACC